Molecule: ribosomal RNA, 671 nt
Filed under: Physalacriaceae sp. No.127
Lineage: Eukaryota; Fungi; Basidiomycota; Agaricomycetes; Agaricales; Physalacriaceae
Description: eukaryotic LSU rRNA
Rfam family: Eukaryotic large subunit ribosomal RNA
Source: RNAcentral
UUGACCUCAAAUCAGGUAGGACUACCCGCUGAACUUAAGCAUAUCAAUAAGCGGAGGAAAAGAAACUAACAAGGAUUCCCCUAGUAACUGCGAGUGAAGAGGGAAAAGCUCAAAUUUAAAAUCUGGCAGUUUCACUGUCCGAGUUGUAAUUUAGAGAAGUGUCGCCCGUGCUGGACUGUGUACAAGUCUCCUGGAAUGGAGCGUCGUAGAGGGUGAGAAUCCCGUCUUUGACACAGACUACCAGUACAUUGUGGUGUGCUCUCAAAGAGUCGUGUUGUUUGGGAAUGCAGCACUAAAUGGGUGGUAAAUUCCAUCUAAAGCUAAAUAUUGGCGAGAGACCGAUAGCGAACAAGUACCGUGAGGGAAAGAUGAAAAGAACUUUGGAAAGAGAGUUAAACAGUACGUGAAAUUGUUGAAAGGGAAACGCUUAAAGUCCAGUCGCGUUGGCUGGGAAUCAGUCUUGCUUUUGCUUGACGUACUUUCCAGUUGAUGGGUCAGCAUCAGUUUUGACCAUUGGAGAAAGGCUGGGAGAAUGUGGCACCUUCGGGUGUGUUAUAGCUCCUAGUUGUAUACAAUGGUUGGGACUGAGGAACUCAGCACGCCGCAAGGCCGGGUCUUGUACCACGUUCGUGCUUAGGAUGCUGGCAUAAUGGCUUUAAUCGACCCGUCUU